CGCGUAGGCGGCUUCGAUAGUCGGGCGUGAAAUGCCUGGGCUCAACCCAGGAACUGCGCUCGAAACUUCGAGGCUAGAGUGUGGGAGAGGAUAGUGGAAUUCCCAGUGUAGAGGUGAAAUUCGUAGAUAUUGGGAAGAACACCGGUGGCGAAGGCGGCUAUCUGGACCACAACUGACGCUGAGGCGCGAAAGCGUGGGAGCAAACA
Molecule: ribosomal RNA, 206 nt
Filed under: uncultured bacterium
Lineage: Bacteria
Description: partial 16S ribosomal RNA
Rfam family: Bacterial small subunit ribosomal RNA
Source: RNAcentral